Molecule: non-coding RNA, 1069 nt
Organism: Phasianus colchicus (ring-necked pheasant)
Lineage: Eukaryota; Metazoa; Chordata; Aves; Galliformes; Phasianidae
Source: RefSeq, a predicted model, not a curated record
CAUAGGGACCCCAUAGAGCCCCAUAAGGACCAAUAGGGACCCAUAGUGGUGACCUAAGCCCCGCCCCCCUACUUCCGGAAGUGCUGCAUUUUCCCCACCCUCUUCUCCCCGGAAGUGCUGACCUUAACCCCGCCCCCCUGCUUCCGGAAAUUCUGCUUUUAUCCCCUCCCCCUUCAUCCCGGAAGUGCUGACCUAAACCCCGCCUUCCAACUUCCGGAAUUGCUGCAUUUUCCCCUCCCCCUCCCUCCCGGAAGUGCAGCCAUUAGCCCCUCCUCCUCCAUCCCGGAAGUGCUGACCUUAGCUCUACCCCUAACUUCCGGACGUGCUGCUUUUAGCCCCUCCCACUCCAUCCCGGAAGUGCUGACCUAAACCCCGCCCCCAACUUCCGGAAUUCCUGCAUUUUCCCCUCCCCCUCCCUCCCGGAAGUGCACCCCAUUAGCCCCUCCCCCUCCAUCCCGGAAGUGCUGACCUUAGUCCCGCCCCCCAGCUUCCGGAAGUGCUGCUCUCAGCCCCGCCCACCGUCCCCGCCCUGCUGCAGCGGAUCCUUCACCGAUUGGCUGCUCGCCACGGCCCCGCCCUCGAGUUCUCAUUGGCCGCCCUCAGCGCCGCCCCUUACGGAUUGGAGGAGGCGCAGCUGCUGCGGCUGCUGGGGGCGGAGCUUCGGCUGAGGGGCGGAGCCAAGGUCACGUGGGAGGAAACCCUGCGGGCGCUCAGCCCAGCCAAGAUGGCUGCCGAGAUGUGGGGGCUGCUCAGGGACCUGCGCUGGCUGCUGGAAGCAUGCGGCGCCCCAUUGGACGCUCCCGGUUCCCGCCUUUACCUUGCCGGCUCCCGAUUGGCUGAAGCCGUUCGGACCUUCUUGGGGGCGGGGCUAAAGGGACGCCCCACCCGUGGUGGCCACGCCCCUUCCGGCGGACGUGACGUCAUGGCGACGGCGAGGAUGCUAUUGGCUGGCCUGACUCUGCGCGCCGCCGACCCAUUGGCUGACGGCCACUUCCGGGGGGCGGAGCUCGAACACCUGGCUUUGUUACCGCGCCUUCUGGUUGGUCUACGCCUCCGGGGGGGGACUGGG